UGGGCGGCCAGAUCUAUCCAUUCAAAUUUUGAAUUCCUUUACUCUUCCCAACUCCCAAGGCCAGAUCUAUCCAUUCAACAUUCAUGUUUCUCUAAUGUUCUUCCAUCUUCUCCCAGAGAAAACCUAAUAUUGCCACCACCGCCAUAACACCGCAGCAACAAUAAAAGCCCCACAUACCUUCUCUCUUUAAAGAACUCAAUGCCAUCAGCCACCAUCGCUUCCUACGAAAUCGGCUCCUCCCACAUAACUUUCACAGCUCAUAACCCACCACAACUUCUUGAUUUAAGGUCGUAUGGCCUGGAUCAGCGGUUUACUGGGCCAAAUCUACAAAUCUUAGGGCAUCAAGUACACAUACGGCUCUGACCGGGUAGAAUUCUAACACACCCUAAAAGCCGACGUCGUUGCUGUGAAGCCCACCCACGUGUUCAAUGCCGCCGGUCGACCGAAAUGUCACACAAGGGUCUGUGUUCAAACAUCCAAAUCCUCUAUAAAAUAAAGAAGGCCAGUCAAUUCAAUAAGUUAGGGUUUUAUAUUUUUUGUUCAAAUUUAGAGCAUAAUCUGAUAUAAAUCGAUGUUUCUAUUGUAAUCAUGAGCUUGUAUGUGAUUAUUUGGUCAAUAAUCAUGUUUUUGAGGAAACUAAGUGGUGGAUUUAGGAAUAAUGCCGACAAAAAGUCGAGAUAAGAGCAAAACAGUGAAGAUGGGAGUGAGGAUUGUUACUCAAUCGACUGGCUAUACGCAGCCUUGGUGGCAUAGGAUUACAGAUGGUGUCGUGUUGUCUUUUUGUUACUCAAUCGACGUGUUGUCUUUUCAUUUUGAAUGGAUUAAUUGUUGAUUUCAGGGUGCAAGUUAAGAUGCACGUGCAAUGCUCUUGAUGGAGGAUAUCAUAACUCUUGAAUUACUGGUAUAUUUCUGGGGCCUGGAUGUGGGGAAGAGGAGUCGUUUCUGAUGGUCAAUCUAUUGCUUAUGGAAGUUAUGCUGAAAGGUUCAUGGCCCCUAAUGAACUUUAGUCAGAUCCAAACACAAAGAGCCUGAAGAUUGGUGACCCUUGGUGGCAACGGUCAUGAAGAAGCUAUGGUAGCAGUCGGAAUCAAGAGUAGAUGGAAACGGUUUUGGGUUGCUAGGGUUCUAUCAUGAACCCAGGUAGUGCUGGCGCCUUAGAAGAGCCCGAUGAUGAUUAGGGAUUGAUUCCAGGUUAUGUUGAAGUUGGGCGAUAUACAUAAAAAACAAUUUCAUACAUGAUAAAACAAGGGGAAGCUUUGUCUCUUGUGUCCUGCCUAAAAAGAGGCAGAAGUGAAUUAUCUCGGGCAACUUUUGCACCCGAAUCUCGUACAAUUGAUCGGAUAUUGUUUGGAGGACAAACAACGGCUUUUAUUGUACAAAUUCAUGCCUUGUGGGAGCUUGGAAAAUCACUUAUUUAGGAGAGGACCUUAUUUUCAACCAUUAUCGUGGAGUCUUCGGUUAAAGGUUGCUCUCGGAGCUGCUAAAGGACUUGUUUUUCUUCAUGGUGCGAAAGCAAAAGUGAUUUAUCGCGAUUGCAAGACUUCUAAUGCGUUGCUAGAUUCGGACUACAACGCAAAGCUAUCAGAUUUCGUGGCUAGCCAAGGAUUGACUGAUCGGUGAUAAGAGCCAUGUCUCGACUAGAGUCAUGGGGACGUACGGAACUGCCCAAUUGGUAAUAAGAGCCAUGUCUCGACUAGAGUCAUGGGAUUUGAUCUUUUGCUGAUGUGUAUAAGCUCAUGUUACCAUGAACAAGUACACUUGGGAACUGUCGUUGACUCCAUCAGGUCUGCAAGUUUGUGGAUGACAGAAUGCCCAUUAAGAAGACAAGUUCUACUAUAGUGAAACAUGGUUCUGAAAAGAAGACAAGUUCCACCAUUUUAUAGUGAUGUUAUAAAUCUACACUGGUCGUUGAGUUCGAUGUGAAACCAGGCAUGGGUUACUUUUGUGAUUCAUUUGUCAUGUAAAUUUUAUAUAAAAUAAACCCCACCUUCCCUUGUAUGGCAACAAGUUACUUCAUAUACAGAGACUUCAUUUACGUUGUAUAGUGAUAGUACAAUAUGACGCAUGACUUUCUUUUGAA
Helianthus annuus (common sunflower) is the source of this 2080-nucleotide long non-coding RNA. RefSeq lists it as uncharacterized. Lineage: Eukaryota; Viridiplantae; Streptophyta; Magnoliopsida; Asterales; Asteraceae. The record is from RefSeq and is a predicted model, not a curated record. The transcript has 9 exons.